UACGAAGGGGGCUAGCGUUGUUCGGAAUUACUGGGCGUAAAGCGCACGUAGGCGGACAUUUAAGUCAGGGGUGAAAUCCCAGAGCUCAACUCUGGAACUGCCUUUGAUACUGGGUGUCUGGAGUAUGGAAGAGGUGAGUGGAAUUCCGAGUGUAGAGGUGAAAUUCGUAGAUAUUCGGAGGAACACCAGUGGCGAAGGCGGCUCACUGGCCCGAUACUGACGCUGAGGCACGAAAGCGUGGGGAGCAAACAGG
Molecule: ribosomal RNA, 253 nt
Filed under: uncultured bacterium
Lineage: Bacteria
Description: partial 16S ribosomal RNA
Rfam family: Bacterial small subunit ribosomal RNA
Source: RNAcentral